AUAGGAAAUAGGCGCUUCCGCAUAAUCGGUAUGUGUCGCGCACUAAACUGUUUACGUAUGCACCGGUUAACAACGUCGAUGUGUUCCGGCACUCGCAGUCAGAAAGAAGCUGUGUGUUCACUGUUGGCACAUUGAAUGAUUGACAGCAUUGGAUAAAUAAUGCUCUAUUGGAUAAAUACGUAAAGUACAUUGGACAGCUGAGAUUGUGGUGUGGACAGCUGAGAUUGUGUUUUGGACAGCUGAGAUUGUGACUUGGACAGCUGAGAUUGUGGUGUGGACAGCUGAGAUUGGUGUGGACAGCUGAGAUUGUGGUGUUGACAUCUGAAAUUGGGAUUUGGACAGCUGAGAUUGUGACCUGGACAGCUGAGAUUGUGCUGUGGACAGCUAAAAUUGUGGUGUGGACUACUGAUAUUGUGGUGUUGACAACAUAUUGUGGUGUGCACCUGUGAUAUUGUGGUGUGAUGGUUUAAAGUAGCAAAGGUAAAGAACGUUUGACAGCUUAGAUUGUGGAGUGGACAGCUGAUAUUGUGGUGUGGACAGCUGAGAUUGUCAUGUCGACUACUUAUAGUGUGGCUUGCAGAGCUGAUACUGUGGUGUGAUGCUUUAAAGUACUAAAGAUUAAAUAUGAAGAUCAUAGUGUGUUUGAUGUAAGCAUAGACGAGGUGUGUGAGGACCUGAGAAAUGGCACGCUUCAGUUCAUAUAGAUUUAUUCCUUACUACCUUCCUGUCAACUAUAUCUUCCACAGCAUGAUUCAAUCUAGUCCCAAUCAUUGCCUCUGGUCACCAGAUGGUCCGUCCACAGAGUCACAAGCAACAGAUACUAAAACUCGGCAAAGUACAUGUACUUCAGACUUCCAGAGGAUAUUGUUAACAAUGAUGAUUUGAUGUUAAAAAGAAAAUGUAUUUGAAUAGCUAUAUUUCUCUUGUGUCACUUGGGUGUCAAAGGUCAUUUCAGAGAUUGUCCGGGCUGUAACUUUGCAACGCAUAAACGGGCUUAAAUGUUUGCUCAGCUAGACAGUGUUGUGUUGAACUCCCAGUCCUUUUGACCGCUGGUGGGCUCGACAUGUUUCCUGUGGGCAUUUAGUUUAUAUUGCAUAUACUUCAAGUAGAUACACAUUUUAGAAUACCGGUAGAUAACCAAAUAAGAAAGAAAACAUUUUUUUAUUUUACAUAAUAGCAAAAUUUGGAAAAUUUUAACUUCUACUUUCACUGUUAUAUAUAGAGGAUAAUUGUUGGUUUCGGUGUAAUAUCACGUUAUAAUUUCACCGAGUGGGCACCAGAAGUGAUAUUUUCACGAGUGGCGCAGCCACGAGUGAAAAUAACAACUUUUGGUGUUCACGAGUGAAAUUACCGUGAUAUUACAUCGAUACCAACAAUUUUUCUGUUUAUUUUAUGUCUAAAACUCUACUUUUGUUGUGUUUAUUUCAAUAAAAUGUCGAAAUUUGCGGGAAAUUUUAUCAGGAAGCAUCGCAAAGGUGACGUCAUUUUAACGACGUCAUCGUCAUAUUGUUUCCGGCUUUCAGUACGCUCGGUAAACUUUUUGACAUUAAUCCGGGUAUCAGAUUUGAUAAUUUUCACUGAGUGGCCAGUGAGUUUAUCAGGAUAUAAUUCACCGUUAUAUUUCGAUAAACCACCGAAAAACAUAAAAUAAUAUUAUAUAAUCACUUAUGAUGAGUAUGAAUGCAAUAUAGACACUGUAGAAAAUUAAUCCCGCAUUUUUAAAGAUACAAUAUCUUGUUAUCUAUUAUUGUCAAUCAUUGGUAUGUAAGAUUUUUGCCAUAGGUUUGAAUAGCUGACAAGCAUGGUAGAAAUUAUUAUUUACCAUUAACGGACUAAAUUUCUAUAAUUAACAUGUCCAUCUUUCAAUAUGGACACUAUCAUUAAAUGAAAGGGAUGGCUACCAAAACACACUGACUGAAUGCAAACAGUGAAGAUCUUGAUCAGGCUAUACAGAUGUGCAGGCUGAUCAUGAUCUACAUUGUUCACAAAGGCAGAAUCAAUCGUAUCCAGCAUGAUAAGGGUUAAAUCCAUUGUUUUUACUGCCUCCUUUUUUGGCUCAUUAUUGUACAAGUACAUAUACAGCAUUGCUUUUCUAACCAUGUAAUAAUGCAUAUGAUUGGUUUUCAAAAUAAAGAGGCUUUUUCUCCUCUCUCACCAUACUUUAAAUAAGUUCAGUUUUAGAAAGUGUUUUGGGGCAAACUAUAUUCAAAUCAAUGUAGUCAAUGAAUGUGUGCAGUUUCAGGUGAAUGGCUCAAGCAGUUUUAUAUCAAAUUAUAUAGUUAAUUUUGUCCCCUGUGAAUCCUAGAAAGUGUGACAUUUUAUAUGAAGGGUAGUUUUCAACUGUGAUUUAUUUUUUCAAACCAAGCAUUAUUGUAACAGCUUUAAUUUUUUAUGUAACUCAAACACUGCACAUUUAAAGGAAAAUACUUUUUUUCAUAAACUACAUUUUAUUCUUACCAAUGUGUCAAAUCUUGUGAUGUAACCCCAUUCACAAAUAA
This is a long non-coding RNA of Mercenaria mercenaria, 2498 nucleotides long. RefSeq lists it as uncharacterized. The record is from RefSeq and is a predicted model, not a curated record. The transcript has 6 exons. Lineage: Eukaryota; Metazoa; Mollusca; Bivalvia; Venerida; Veneridae.